CCUACGAGCGGCAGCAGUGGGGAAUAUUGGACAAUGGGCGAAAGCCUGAUCCAGCCAUGCCGCGUGUGUGAAGAAGGCCUUCGGGUUGUAAAGCACUUUCAGUGGGGAAGAAAGCCUUGGGGCUAAUACCCUCGAGGAAGGACAUCACCCACAGAAGAAGCACCGGCUAACUCCGUGCCAGCAGCCGCGGUAAUACGGAGGGUGCGAGCGUUAAUCGGAAUUACUGGGCGUAAAGCGCGCGUAGGCGGUCUGAUAAGCCGGUUGUGAAAGCCCCGGGCUCAACCUGGGAACGGCAUCCGGAACUGUCAGGCUAGAGUGCAGGAGAGGAAGGUAGAAUUCCCGGUGUAGCGGUGAAAUGCGUAGAGAUCGGGAGGAAUACCAGUGGCGAAGGCGGCCUUCUGGACUGACACUGACGCUGAGGUGCGAAAGCGUGGGUAGCAAACAGGAUUAGAUACCCCUGUAGUC
RNAcentral lists this ribosomal RNA (465 nucleotides) under Vreelandella stevensii. Its description in RNAcentral is "partial 16S ribosomal RNA". It matches the Rfam family "Bacterial small subunit ribosomal RNA", at positions 338 to 795 of the family's 1533-position model. The record is from RNAcentral. Lineage: Bacteria; Pseudomonadati; Pseudomonadota; Gammaproteobacteria; Oceanospirillales; Halomonadaceae.